CUCCGGUUGUUCCUGCGGAACCCGACUGCUAUCAGAGUGGGACUAGAGCCAUGCGAGUCAACGUAGCAAUACGUGGCAUACGGCUCAGUAACACGUAGUCAACAUGCCCAGGGGACGAGGAUAACCUCGGGAAACUGAGGAUAAACCUCGAUAGGCCAUGAUUUCUGGAAUGAUUCUUGGCUCAAACCUAUAUGGCCCCUGGAUUGGACUGCGGCCGAUCAGGCUGUUGGUGAGGUAAUGGCCCACCAAACCUAUUACCGGUACGGGCUCUGAGAGGAGGAGCCCGGAGAUGGGCACUGAGACAAGGGCCCAGGCCCUAUGGGGCGCAGCAGGCGCGAAACCUCUGCAAUAGGCGAAAGCUUGACAGGGUUACUCUGAGUGAUUUCCGCUAAGGGAAUCUUUUGGCACCUCUAAAAAUGGUGCAGAAUAAGGGGUGGGCAAGUCUGGUGUCAGCCGCCGCGGUAAUACCAGCACCCCGAGUGGUCGGGACGAUUAUUGGGCCUAAAGCAUCCGUAGCCGGUCCUGCAAGUCUUCCGUUAAAUCCAGCUGCUCAACAGAUGGGCUGCGGGAGAUACUACAGGGCUAGGAGGCGGGAGAGGCAAGCGGUACUUUAUGGGUAGGGGUAAAAUCCGCUGAUCCAUAGAAGACCACCAGUGGCGAAGGCGGCUUGCCAGAACGCGCUCGACGGUGAGGGAUGAAAGCUGGGGGAGCAAACCGGAUUAGAUACCCGGGUAGUCCCAGCUGUAAACGAUGCAGACUCGGUGAUGGGUUGGCCUCGCGCCUGCCCAGUGCCGCAGGGAAGCCGUUAAGUCUGCCACAUGGGGAGUACGGUCGCAAGACUGAAACUUAAAGGAAUUGGCGGGGGGAGCCA
Molecule: ribosomal RNA, 871 nt
Filed under: uncultured archaeon
Lineage: Archaea
Description: bacterial SSU rRNA
Rfam family: Archaeal small subunit ribosomal RNA
Source: RNAcentral